This 295-nucleotide signal recognition particle RNA is filed under the name Cebus imitator (Panamanian white-faced capuchin). Its description in RNAcentral is "Metazoan signal recognition particle RNA (ENSCCAG00000004001.1)". It matches the Rfam family "Metazoan signal recognition particle RNA". From Rfam's summary of the family: The signal recognition particle (SRP) is a universally conserved ribonucleoprotein. It is involved in the co-translational targeting of proteins to membranes. The record is from RNAcentral. Lineage: Eukaryota; Metazoa; Chordata; Mammalia; Primates; Cebidae.
GCUGGGCAGGGUGGCACAUGCGUGGCGCAUGCCUGUAGUCCCAGCUACUCAGGAGGCUGAGGUGGGAGGUUCGCUCGAGCCCAGGAGUUCUGGGCUGUAGUAUGCCGAUCAGGUGUCCACACUAAGCUCGGCAUCAAUAUGGUGACCUCCCGGGAGUGGGGGACCACCACCAGGUUGCCUAAGGAGGGGUGAACUCGCCCAGGUUGGAAACGGAGCAGGUCAAAACUCCAGUGCUGAUCAGUAGUGGGAUAGCCACUGCCCUCCAGCCCGGGCAACAUAGCAAGACCCCAUUUCU